RNAcentral lists this ribosomal RNA (253 nucleotides) under uncultured bacterium. RNAcentral's name for it is "partial 16S ribosomal RNA". It matches the Rfam family "Bacterial small subunit ribosomal RNA", at positions 524 to 776 of the family's 1533-position model. The record is from RNAcentral.
UACGUAGGGUGCGAGCGUUAAUCGGAAUUACUGGGCGUAAAGCGUGCGCAGGCGGUUAUGUAAGACAGGUGUGAAAUCCCCGGGCUUAACCUGGGAACUGCAUUUGUGACUGCAUAGCUAGAGUACGGUAGAGGGGGAUGGAAUUCCGCGUGUAGCAGUGAAAUGCGUAGAUAUGUGGAGGAAUACCGAUGGCGAAGGCAGCCUCCUGGGCCAACACUGACGCUCAUGCACGAAAGCGUGGGGAUCAAACAGG